CCUACGGGUGGCUGCAGUGAGGAAUAUUGGUCAAUGGCCGGAAGGCUGAACCAGCCAUGCCGCGUGAAGGUCAGUGCCCUAUGGGCGUUAAACUUCUUUUGUGCGGGAGCAUUAAUGGUCACGUGUGGCCAGACGAGAGUACCGUACGAAUAAGAAUCGGCUAACUCCGUGCCAGCAGCCGCGGUAGUACGGGGGAUGCAAGCGUUAUCCGGAUUUAUGGGGUUUAAAGGGGGCGCAGGCGGGAGAUAAUGUCAGCGGUAAAAUGUCGGGGCUCAACCCCGGCCGGCCGUUGAAACUGGUUUUCUAGAGUUGGAGAGAGGUAGGCGGAAUUCGUGGUGUAGCGGUAAAAUGCGUAGAUAUCACGAAGAACUCCGAUUGCGAAGGCAGCAUACCGGCUCCAUACUGACGCUGAGGCACGAAAGCGUGGGGAGCGAACAGGAUUAGAUACCCUAGUAGUC
RNAcentral lists this ribosomal RNA (458 nucleotides) under uncultured bacterium. RNAcentral's name for it is "partial 16S ribosomal RNA". It matches the Rfam family "Bacterial small subunit ribosomal RNA", at positions 338 to 795 of the family's 1533-position model. The record is from RNAcentral.